UUAUGGCUAAGUGGGAAAGGAUGUAGGAAGCCAAGACAACCAGGAGGUUGGCUUAGAAGCAGCCACCCUUUAAAGAAAGCGUAACAGCUCACUGGUCUAGUUAAGCCGUCCCGCGCCGAAGAUGUACCGGGGCUCAAGCCAUACACCGAAGCUGCGGGUGUGCCUCUCUUACGGGAGAGGUACGCAGUAGCGGAGCGUUCCGUAAGCCUGCGAAGGGGUUCUCGUGAGAGGCCCUGGAGGUAUCGGAAGUGAGAAUGCUGACAUGAGUAGCGACAAAGAGUGUGAGAAACACUCUCGCCGAAAGUCCAAGGGUUCCUGCGCAAGGCUAAUCCGCGCAGGGUGAGUCGGCCCCUAAGGCGAGGGCGAAAGCCGUAGUCGAUGGGAACAGGGUUAAUAUUCCCUGACCUGUGGGUGGUGACGAAUGGUGUAAGUUGUUCGGGCUUAUUGGAUUGUCCGGGCGGCGAAACUGU
This 470-nucleotide ribosomal RNA is filed under the name alpha proteobacterium L9. RNAcentral describes it as "LSU rRNA". It matches the Rfam family "Bacterial large subunit ribosomal RNA", at positions 1053 to 1524 of the family's 2925-position model. The record is from RNAcentral. Lineage: Bacteria; Pseudomonadati; Pseudomonadota; Alphaproteobacteria.